UAGUCUGGGAACUGCCUGAUGGAGGGGGAUAACUGCUGGAAACGGUAGCUAAUACCGCAUAAUGUCGCAAGACCAAAGUGGGGGACCUUCGGGCCUCAUGCCAUCAGAUGUGCCCAGAUGGGAUUAGCUAGUAGGUGGGGUAACGGCUCACCUAGGCGACGAUCCCUAGCUGGUCUGAGAGGAUGACCAGCCACACUGGAACUGAGACACGGUCCAG
Molecule: ribosomal RNA, 217 nt
Filed under: uncultured bacterium
Lineage: Bacteria
Description: partial 16S ribosomal RNA
Rfam family: Bacterial small subunit ribosomal RNA
Source: RNAcentral